Molecule: long non-coding RNA, 726 nt
Organism: Pipistrellus kuhlii (Kuhl's pipistrelle)
Lineage: Eukaryota; Metazoa; Chordata; Mammalia; Chiroptera; Vespertilionidae
Exons: 2
Source: RefSeq, a predicted model, not a curated record
CCGGGCCAAUGCGAGCUGGGACUGUGUGGGAGUCUCUCUCCACCCCGGGAUCGGGCGCUCCGGUCCCCUGCCCGCCACGCCCAGCUGACCCUGGCCCCAGCAGGAGCGCCUGGCCUCCCUCCUCUGCCACCUCUCGCUGCUGACUUGCCUCCUCCGGGAGGAGAUAAACCCAUGGGGACUCUGUUUUCUGUGACAGCGCUUGGGGGCUGCGCCAAACACAAGUGCAGGAUUAAGAGACCGAGGCUGAGCCGAGGUGAAAGCCACGGCCAAGGUCACCGAGCCGAGAAGCGACUCAGAGCUUGGCCGCAAACUCAGAUCUCCUGACUGGAAUCCAGGGCGGCCGAGGCAGGAAGCCGGCAGGAUGGCCCCUCCGGGCCGGCUGCCCCGCGCCGGACUGUCCUCAGAUAAGGCGCUCCCCGGGAGAGGAAGGAUCUGGGACAAAGAAGAUCUGAGCGGGAGCGGGAGGACAGGAAAUUCUGUCGGCCGGGAUUUUCCCUGCCACCGGGAGCCCAGCGGAGGCGCAGGAGGGGCCAGCAUGCCAGGGUUCCAGGAGACGCCCAGUCACCGUGCCAGGCUCCGCAGUGGGUCCCGGGUAGGCCGAGUCCCCGCCCUCUAGGCUCUCACCAUCCAGGCAGUCAGAUCCCCAGGGUGCGAGGACAUCCUGCCAAUCACAGCUGCCGAGGCGGAAGGGGGGAGAGGAAGCGGGGGAGGGGAGACUGCUUAGAG